RNAcentral lists this ribosomal RNA (1117 nucleotides) under Vibrio neocaledonicus. RNAcentral's name for it is "bacterial SSU rRNA". It matches the Rfam family "Bacterial small subunit ribosomal RNA", at positions 320 to 1429 of the family's 1533-position model. The record is from RNAcentral. Lineage: Bacteria; Pseudomonadati; Pseudomonadota; Gammaproteobacteria; Vibrionales; Vibrionaceae.
UGAGACACGGUCCAGACUCCUACGGGAGGCAGCAGUGGGGAAUAUUGCACAAUGGGCGCAAGCCUGAUGCAGCCAUGCCGCGUGUGUGAAGAAGGCCUUCGGGUUGUAAAGCACUUUCAGUCGUGAGGAAGGUGGUGUAGUUAAUAGCUGCAUUAUUUGACGUUAGCGACAGAAGAAGCACCGGCUAACUCCGUGCCAGCAGCCGCGGUAAUACGGAGGGUGCGAGCGUUAAUCGGAAUUACUGGGCGUAAAGCGCAUGCAGGUGGUUUGUUAAGUCAGAUGUGAAAGCCCGGGGCUCAACCUCGGAAUAGCAUUUGAAACUGGCAGACUAGAGUACUGUAGAGGGGGGUAGAAUUUCAGGUGUAGCGGUGAAAUGCGUAGAGAUCUGAAGGAAUACCGGUGGCGAAGGCGGCCCCCUGGACAGAUACUGACACUCAGAUGCGAAAGCGUGGGGAGCAAACAGGAUUAGAUACCCUGGUAGUCCACGCCGUAAACGAUGUCUACUUGGAGGUUGUGGCCUUGAGCCGUGGCUUUCGGAGCUAACGCGUUAAGUAGACCGCCUGGGGAGUACGGUCGCAAGAUUAAAACUCAAAUGAAUUGACGGGGGCCCGCACAAGCGGUGGAGCAUGUGGUUUAAUUCGAUGCAACGCGAAGAACCUUACCUACUCUUGACAUCCAGAGAACUUUCCAGAGAUGGAUUGGUGCCUUCGGGAACUCUGAGACAGGUGCUGCAUGGCUGUCGUCAGCUCGUGUUGUGAAAUGUUGGGUUAAGUCCCGCAACGAGCGCAACCCUUAUCCUUGUUUGCCAGCGAGUAAUGUCGGGAACUCCAGGGAGACUGCCGGUGAUAAACCGGAGGAAGGUGGGGACGACGUCAAGUCAUCAUGGCCCUUACGAGUAGGGCUACACACGUGCUACAAUGGCGCAUACAGAGGGCGGCCAACUUGCGAAAGUGAGCGAAUCCCAAAAAGUGCGUCGUAGUCCGGAUUGGAGUCUGCAACUCGACUCCAUGAAGUCGGAAUCGCUAGUAAUCGUGGAUCAGAAUGCCACGGUGAAUACGUUCCCGGGCCUUGUACACACCGCCCGUCACACCAUGGGAGUGGGCUGCAAAAGAAGUAG